CAGUCGCCGCGGUAAUACAGAGGGUGCGAGCGUUAAUCGGAUUUACUGGGCGUAAAGCGUGCGUAGGCGGCUUUUUAAGUCGGAUGUGAAUCCCUGAGCUUAACUUAGGAAUUGCAUUCGAUACUGGGAAGCUAGAGUAUGGGAGAGGAUGGUAGAAUUCCAGGUGUAGCGGUGAAAUGCGUAGAGAUCUGGAGGAAUACCGAUGGCGAAGGCAGCCAUCUGGCCUAAUACUGACGCUGAGGUACGAAGGCAUGGGGAGCAAACAGGAUUAGAGACCCCCGUAGUCCCUGUCUCUUAUACC
Molecule: ribosomal RNA, 301 nt
Filed under: uncultured bacterium
Lineage: Bacteria
Description: partial 16S ribosomal RNA
Rfam family: Bacterial small subunit ribosomal RNA
Source: RNAcentral